CCUACGGGAGGCAGCAGUGAGGAAUAUUGGUCAAUGGCCGGAAGGCUGAACCAGCCAAGCCGCGUGAGGGAGGAAGGCGCAGAGCGUCGCAGACCUCUUUUGCCGGGGGACAAAAGGCCGGACUCGUCCGGUCCUGAGGGUACCCGGAGAAAAAGCAUCGGCUAACUCCGUGACAGCAGCCGCGGUAAUACGGAGGAUGCGAGCGUUAUCCGGAUUCAUUGGGUUUAAAGGGUGCGCAGGCGGGCCUUUAAGCCGGCGGUGAAAUCGCGGGGCUCAACCCCGCCGCGCCGUCGGAACUGGGGGCCUUGAGUGCGGGGGAGGCAUGCGGAAUGCGCGGUGUAGCGGUGAAAUGCAUAGAUAUCGCGCAGAACCCCGAUUGCGAAGGCAGCGGGCCGUGCCGCCACUGACGCUGAGGCACGAAAGCGCGGGGAUCGAACAGGAUUAGAUACCCUAGUAGUC
Molecule: ribosomal RNA, 459 nt
Filed under: uncultured bacterium
Lineage: Bacteria
Description: partial 16S ribosomal RNA
Rfam family: Bacterial small subunit ribosomal RNA
Source: RNAcentral